UGAGGAAUCAAGCAGUGAACGUGGCAUGCA
RNAcentral lists this non-coding RNA (30 nucleotides) under Homo sapiens (human). Lineage: Eukaryota; Metazoa; Chordata; Mammalia; Primates; Hominidae. The record is from RNAcentral.